RNAcentral lists this ribosomal RNA (407 nucleotides) under uncultured prokaryote. Its description in RNAcentral is "bacterial SSU rRNA". It matches the Rfam family "Bacterial small subunit ribosomal RNA", at positions 355 to 776 of the family's 1533-position model. The record is from RNAcentral.
UGGGGAAUAUUGGGCAAUGGGCGAAAGCCUGACCCAGCAACGCCGCGUGAAGGAAGAAGGUUUUCGGAUUGUAAACUUCUGUCCUCAGGGAAGAAGGAAGUGACGGUACCUGAGGAGGAAGCCCCGGCUAACUACGUGCCAGCAGCCGCGGUAAUACGUAGGGGGCGAGCGUUGUCCGGAAUGACUGGGCGUAAAGGGCGCGUAGGUGGCCUCACAAGUCUGGAGUGAAAGUCCCGUUUUUAAGGUGGGAAUGGCUUUGGAAACUGUGGGGCUUGAGUGUGGGAGAGGAUAGCGGAAUUUCCGGUGUAGCGGUGAAAUGCGUAGAGAUCGGGAGGAACACCAGUGGCGAAGGCGGCUAUCUGGACCAAGACUGACACUGAAGCGCGAAAGCGUGGGUAGCAAACAGG